UGGGGUGUAGCUCAGUGGUAGAGCCCUUGUCUAGCAUGCAUGAGGACCUGAGGUCCGUCCCCAGCACCACAA
RNAcentral lists this transfer RNA (72 nucleotides) under Heterocephalus glaber (naked mole-rat). It matches the Rfam family "tRNA". Rfam says of the family: Transfer RNA (tRNA) molecules are approximately 80 nucleotides in length. Their secondary structure includes four short double-helical elements and three loops (D, anti-codon, and T loops). Further hydrogen bonds mediate the characteristic L-shaped molecular structure. tRNAs have two regions of fundamental functional importance: the anti-codon, which is responsible for specific mRNA codon recognition, and the 3' end, to which the tRNAs corresponding amino acid is attached (by aminoacyl-tRNA synthetases). tRNAs cope with the degeneracy of the genetic code in two manners: having more than one tRNA (with a specific anti-codon) for a particular amino acid; and 'wobble' base-pairing, i.e. permitting non-standard base-pairing at the 3rd anti-codon position. Lineage: Eukaryota; Metazoa; Chordata; Mammalia; Rodentia; Bathyergidae. The record is from Rfam by way of RNAcentral.